AUGAGUUCCAUCAUCAACAAAUACUCCAAGCCACCGGCGGAGGCCGUGGAGGCUGGCUUAGAGAGGAUUCUACUCAGGGGGCAGGUCAUCAUGGACGAGGCCAUGGGGCGGCACAUCACAAACCAUGGAAUGCUCCAGCAGCUUAGCAUGCUGAGGUAUGCCAUGUACCAAGGCUACUAUGUGCUCGACACCUUCAGAUGCCAAGCGUACCAAGAAGAGGAGAAUAUUCAGGCUGUGAGUCAAUCUGGGGCCGUGUCCAAAUUUCGUUAUGCACAACGGCUCUGUCUCUCCAGCAGCAACAACAAAAAAACAUCACAAGGGCUUGAAGAGGCCCUUGACAGUUUGAGAUCCAUGAUUCUUGAUGCCAGUGAGAUGGUGAGGUUCCUGACAACAUAUCCUCGCCUGCAUCGCCAGCCUUACAGCAUGCAUCUCUUGCUGGACAAGUGCAUGUUUGCCCGCCAGAGGGAGACAGAAGUAGUUAUCAACUUCCUUCUGUGCACACAAUCUUGUACUUGUAGCUUCGAUGUCCUCCCAAUUGUUGGUCCGGAGAAUGUUGGAAAGAGCACUCUUGUCGCUCAUAUCUGCGAAGACGAAAGAGUACGUGUUGGGGAUCUCGACAAAGAUCUGUGGGGGAACUUGUGCUCUCUUUGCCGACAGAGCACCACAAGUGGUAGUAAAAUCAUUAUCACAAGCCGGUCUGACAAGAUCACAAACUUUGGGACAACACAGAGUCUAGUACUGAAGCAUCUGUCCGAUGAGGCAUUCUGGUAUUUUUUCAAGGUGAUUACGUUUGGAAGUACGGAUCCCAAGAUGCACCCGAGGCUCGUGUAUUUGGCAAUGGAGAUAGCAAAAUUGAUGUAUAACCUCGCUGAAGCAAGCAUCACUGCAUGUGUAUUGAGAGCCAAUUUUAACACCAAUUUCUGGGGCAAGGUUCUGGCAUUCCGACAAGGGUGCAUGCAAAAGCAGCUCUGUAAGCUUGGGGUGCAUCCGUGUGAACUUCUCAGUGGGAAUAGACCUGUGUAUCUUCAACGAAUGGGUAGAACUAGUGAAGAUGUUCUUGUUCUUGGUACUAAUCAGACAUGCUAUUCUGUAGAGGAAGCUCCCAAGAUAACGGCCGUAGAUGUUUUGUAUGGAAUCGCCAGGCCUCAAGGGGGGACAUUUAAGGUCCUUCUAUGGAAGUCUCGGAUACCGCCCUACCAUACCUACAUCCAAACUUAUGAGAUUCGAGAGGUGCAAGCUAGAGCGGUGAAGAGGAAGCGCCCUUUGAUGAAUGGCAUUAGACAUGUUUAG
Molecule: ribosomal RNA, 1290 nt
Filed under: Triticum aestivum (bread wheat)
Lineage: Eukaryota; Viridiplantae; Streptophyta; Magnoliopsida; Poales; Poaceae
Description: partial small subunit ribosomal RNA
Source: RNAcentral